UAACACCUGGGAUGUACGACAACCUGUAGUUUUUGAACCUACAUUUCUUUAAACGGGAAUCCUACAUUGCCUAUUGGAUGUCAAGCCUUGAUACGUUGGAAGGCAGAAGAUAGUGUUGCGGACACCCACCUAGCGGUUGGCUAGGAGUCAAAAAUGCAGGAACGGCAUCUUGGGAUUAAC
RNAcentral lists this non-coding RNA (180 nucleotides) under Lachnospiraceae bacterium. RNAcentral's name for it is "6S RNA". It matches the Rfam family "6S / SsrS RNA". Rfam says of the family: E. coli 6S RNA was the first non coding RNA to be sequenced, but its function was unknown until recently. It consists of 184 nucleotides that fold into an extended hairpin structure with a large single-stranded internal bulge. The record is from RNAcentral. Lineage: Bacteria; Bacillati; Bacillota; Clostridia; Lachnospirales; Lachnospiraceae.